RNAcentral lists this long non-coding RNA (4382 nucleotides) under Brassica napus (rape). Its description in RNAcentral is "long non-coding RNA (BNAP_LNC026424)". Lineage: Eukaryota; Viridiplantae; Streptophyta; Magnoliopsida; Brassicales; Brassicaceae. The record is from RNAcentral.
AGCUUGACUUGUGGGUAGAGUGGGAACAAAUCCCAUUUGGUUCGGUUGAUAGAUCUCAGGUCUCAUGAGUUGCUGUUGUUGGUUGUACAUCAUUGAAGCUUGAUUGGGAACAACAUCCAUAUGAUGCGGCUGAAGUUGGUUAAAAUUCUGCCCUGUUAGGUUUGGUUCUGAAAACUGACUGCUCCCAUAAUGGUGAUGUUGUUGAAACUGAGGAACAUAAGAGUCAUAAUGAUUUGAGUUAAUGAUUUCUUGUUCAUUGCUCAUCCUUCUCCUCUUUGUAGUUGUACUCUCACAAUCAUUAACUUCUUCUUCUUGUUCUUCAAAGAUGUCAAACUCGGUCGACCUUCCUGGAUCAUGAAAUCUCUUGAAAAGUUCCUCUUCAUCAAUAUAUUCUACAAAUUCAUCUCUGAUUAGCGGGAUAAGUGUACCGUGAGGAAGUUGGAUAUCUGAUUCCAGUCUCACAAUAUAUAAAGGUCUCCUUACAUAUCCAAAUCCAAAGUAGUAACCAACCACACGACAAAACGGAGCUCUUGUUUCAUUUAUAGUGAGGAAAUAUCUCAACUAUCUCUUAGUACUUAUUCUCCUAGAUUUGUUCUAACAAACAACUUAUCCUUUUGUUUAGUCUGGUUUAAUCCGGUUUGGUAAAGUACUUCGUUUGGUUAUUCAAGUACAAAUCCCCUAGACUAUAUUUGCGAAGUGAUUUUGCAACAUGUCCUUUCUACAAUCAAUUUCACAAAACAAAUAUGACAUGGCUAAUGAAAUUGAUGACAUGACUUCCGUAAAAAUAUGACAUGGAUAAUUUCAUUUAAUGUUGAUUUAUAUUUUUGGCAAACUUAUUAGAAUAUGGUAAUAAUUCAUAUAUUACAUUUAAUAUUGAUAUUUCUUUUUGGUAAAUUUUAUUUUAAAUAUGGUAAUAGCUCAUACAUCAUUUAUAAAAUAAAUAUAUUCAUAUAUAACAUUUCAAAUUUCGAAAUAUUAUUAUUUUUGUAUAAUUAUCCAAUUUGUAUUACUAAAACUUUCAAAAAUUCCUACAAUUUUUUAAAAUUUUAAAUAUCUAAUAGUAAAAUCAUUAGUUUUUUAUAUACCUACAAAUUUUAUAAAUAUUGUUUAGGGUAAAUUUUUGAUAAUUAUACAAUUUUAUAUUAUUUUUAUACAAAUUGAUUUAAUAUAUAUCAAAUCUAUAGUAAAUAUUAGUAAGAAAAUAGUAAAAUCUAUAAUAUUUAAUAAAAUUUAUUUUUAAAUAUAAGUUAGAUUAAAAAAAUUAUUUACUGCACAUGGUGCAGGAAAACACCUAGUGUUUGUUUAAACGUAGAAACACACACUUAGGGGGGUUAUUCAAACAAGAAUUUGUAUGAAAUUUAGUGGUUUUAAAAGUUGAUGGACUUUUAAAAGUUAAGUAAACUUAACAAAUAUUUUAUAUAGAUUUCCACUGAUUGUGAUUGAUCUUCAUAGAUUUGCAUACAUUUUUUUUUAAAUCCUUUAAAGGAAAUAUAUAAAAGUUCUUUUAGAAAACUUUCCAAUUUUUUAAAAGCUCUCUGUAAGUAGAGACAAUAGUAAGAGAUGAUGUACAACAAGUCCCUGAGAUAUCUUGGUCGCCAAAUCAUGUCACAAGAUCGAUCGAGAUCAACUCUUGAGAGAUAAUCUCUUGUAGCCGGCUAUCUAGGACCUCAUGUUGCUACGUACGAUUGGAAUCGAUGUUCCUUAGUAACACUAGUAGCGAUGAGUUGAGCCACCUCAGCCCUUCCUUUACCCACAUGAUCCAAUUUCCACUACGAAAAGACACAAGGAGAUGAUGAAUGUUUCGGAAAUGAUAAAUGAGUGUUGGGUACUUCUAUAUGUGGGAUGAAAGCUUGCCUAAGCUAUUCAGAUGAUGUUUCAAAUAUCAUUUUCUUCACCUGUAGGUGAAAAAAUAAUUCCACUGUCCAUGGCAACGCUAGGAGCUGCGCCUCGAAGAAUAAGUUGGUAGAAAGAAGGAUCGUCAGCCAUGAAAAACAGCUUUCCACCACUAUUGUUUACGCUAUUCUGCCAAGAUGAUGACAUUCAAACAUAGAGUGAAGGUGAUGAAACUCUUCAAAUUCGACCAAUAAAGCUGGCCAGUCGUCUUCUUCUUCGUUUUUGAUGAUCUUGACCAAUUGUUGACAAUCUGUCUCAAAGGUUAUAUCUAGUUGGUCCAGUCGGAUUAAGGAUUUCAUGGUCCACAGCAGAGUAUGAAGCUCAGCAUGUAGGGGGGUUAAGCUUCGGUUACUAGUGAAUGAACCGAAGGUCGUUACCCCAUCCUUGUCCGUCAGGACCAUACCUCCGCCAAAGAGAGCGUCGUCUUUAUGCCAAGAGGCGUCAAUCGACCAUAGGGGGCCGAGGUGUUGCGCUUCAGGCGGUGGUUGAGUCUCCUCAUCAUUUGGAGUUGUGUGUAAGAGUUUUGCUAGCGACUUAUAUCUCUAAAACCAAAAAAAAUCAAAACUGAAUCAGAACAAAACCGAAAAGGUAUCCGAAUUUAUAUAAUAUAGUUUAUAGUUUAUAUACUUGUAAAUAUUAACAGUCAUUGUUGCAUUUAAACUAAUUUAAUAAUUUUAAAAUACUACAUACAAAAAAAAAACAAAUUACCAUAAUACAUUAUAUCUACAAUAUUUAAAUUAUCUAAAUUAUUCAAAAUUUUAUCCGAAAACCCAAAAAAAAUUGAUAUUUAAUCCGAAGAUCAGAUUUUUUAACAUGAAUUAACAGAAAAUCAAAACCAAACCAAAACCGAAUGAGAUUCAAAAUUUUCUCGGAUAUUAGUCGGUUCUCAACUUUGUUAACCGAACCAAAUUUUUUUAAUACUAUAUUAGAUACUAAAUCUCUAGAAUUAAAAAAAAAAAAACAAAACUAAACCGGAACAGAAUGACAAAGCCAAAAUAUGUUACAGACACAAACACACAUACUAAAAAAAAUACUGUAUACAAGAGCACUAGGGACAAGGACAAAGUGGAUCCGAAUCUACAGUUCACAAACAUGUUUUCAAGGAACAAUGAUUACAAGUAGAGAAAGAUUCAAGAUUCACGAAAGACAAAACUCCCCUACAAAUCUGAAAUAAACACAUUGCAACGAGGUUAACAAAGUAAGCAUCUAUUAAGCCACAUUACCAAGCUUUCUAUACACAUUUCCUAAAAUCCUUUAUUAAUAAAAUAAUAAGUCCUAAAGCAGCAUAGUCUUUAUUCACAUAAGAGAUAACAAUACUAAAAUAUCAACCAAAACCAAUGCAAGAAAACGGCCCAACAGAAAUUUUGCUACAUAAUUUGGAAAAGUUCAACUAACUAGUUAUAAAAGUUGAUUAGACAGUCCUUCAGAGACUCUUUUGAGAUAGUGAAGAUAAUCAUGUCACUUAGGCUUCUGCUUAGUCUCGACCUCCCCUCCCAAGACCUCUGGCUCUACUGCGAUGACUUCCUCUGCCACGGUAAGAAGACUGUCCUGCAGCAUUGAACAUCCUCAUAGAACUCAUUUGGUUUUGCUGAUUAGUCACAGGUCCCAUGGAUUGCUGGUUGUACAUCACUGGAGCUGCUGCACUUUGAGAAGGUUGUUGGCGCAUACCAAAAGGCUGGUUGGGAUUGUUCUGACCUAAAAACAUUGUUGAUGCUUGUGCUCCAAGGUUUGGUUCUGUAAUCUGACUGCCAUACUGCUGGUUGUACAUCAUUGGAGCUUGAAAUGGAAAUGGAUUGGGAACAACUCCCAUAUUGUUCGGCUGAUUGAUCUCACGUCUCAUGAAAUGAUGCGGCGGAUUGUAUACCAUUGGAGCUGCUGCACUGAGAAAAGGUUGUUGGAACAUGCCAAAAGGCUGUCUGAGAUUGUGCUGACCUAGUUCUGUAAUCUGACUGCUCCUGAAACCAUGCUGCUGGUUGUACAUCAUCACUGGAGCUUGACUUGGGAGUAGAUUGGAAACAAAUCCCAUUUGGUUAGGCUGAUUGAUCUCAGGUCUCGUGAGUUGCUGCUGUUGGUUGUACAUCAUUAAAGCUUGACAUAGAAUUUGAAGUAGAUUGGGAACAAUGUCCACAUGAUGUGGCUGCAUACAAAGAAGUUGGUUAAAAUUGUCUUGGCAUUGUCCCUCAUAAUGAUUGCAAGUCCUCAAAAUCUUCUUGUUUGAGUUAAUGAUUUCUUCUUCACUACUCAUCCUUCUCCUCUUUGUUGUUGUACUCUGGCAGUCAUUAACUUCUUCUUCUUCUUCUUCAAAGAUGUCAAACGCAGCCCUUACUGGAUCAUUAAAUCUCUUGAACAGAUCCUCUUCAUCAAUAUAUUCUGCAAUUUUCUGGACGACUAGAGGGAUAAGUGUACCGCGAGGCGUUUUGAUGUCUGAUUCCAUUCUCACAACGUAGAAAGGUCUCCUUACAUAUCCAAAUCCAAAGUAGUAACCAACC